GACAAACGCUGGCGGCGUGCCUAAUACAUGCAAGUCGAACGAGGUAGCAAUACCUAGUGGCGCACGGGCGAGGAACACGUAGAUAAUCUGCCUUAAGCUGGGGGAUAACUAGUCGAAAGACUAGCUAAUACCGCAUAAGACCACAAGAUCUGAGGAUCAAGGGGUUAAAGGAGUAAUCCGGCAUAAGAUGAGUCUGCGUC
This 200-nucleotide ribosomal RNA is filed under the name uncultured bacterium. RNAcentral describes it as "partial 16S ribosomal RNA". It matches the Rfam family "Bacterial small subunit ribosomal RNA", at positions 28 to 237 of the family's 1533-position model. The record is from RNAcentral.